AAGCAACGACCGCAACAGUAACACAAGGACGGCACCGGAAAGUUUGAUAGUGUUUAUAGACAGAGAGAGUAAAUGACAACCACUUAGUCCCGCCUAACAAUUGAAGUGGACUGUGGCAGAACCUCCUGAAUUAAGUGGCCCACAUGCACCCAUCAUUGUCUCAAAGACUUCUGAUCAGCGUGCACGAGUUCCAAAUGACUUAAGAAGUCUGUCGGGUGUCCUCGGGAAACCCGAAUCAUCCACAUUUUAACUCAUACAGGAUCAACAUGGAGUUACCACAACAUUACAACAUUUGUUACAAAAAUAACUUACAUCAGAGUGCGGAAGAUUUAUAACUUAAUUUACAACAUAUGAUGAAGUACAAACUUAACUAAAUUUCCAAAAGGUGUGUAGAGUAGCGAAAGCAUCUUAGGUGAAGCUUCUAAGGUAGAAGAGGUGGAUAAAUCAUGUCGCGCCCACCGACAUGACCUCCAUUAGCAGUCUAAGUCAGCACCUGCAACAGGGGUUAUAAAACCCUGAGUACAAAAGUACUCAACAAGACUUAACCGACUAGAAAAGAGGUGAAGACUCAGGUAUGCAGGCUAUAGGGAUUCAAGGUAAAACUUUAGCAAGAUCAAAACAUUUCUUUUGCAUAAAAGCUUACUAAGAGUAAAACCUACUUUCAAGUUUUAACUCAAGAUCAUCAUUUAUGACUAAUCAAAACUAUUAUCAAACUUUCAUAAGCAUACCACCUCUUUCUCUUACCAAAGAUCCAUUUAUUACUACGAUGAUGGUACGAGGAUUGAGGCUCCAUAUUCGAGGAAACACGGCGAUUCGAAUCGAUUAAACCCAGCUGGGGAUUCAGUACCACACGACAUAUGUAGAACUUAAUCUUGCAUAUGUCAACCUUUUCUAUAGAUCCUCUCAUACAAGAACGGGUCCAGCGUCACCCGAGAGUACAGUACACCACCAUCCUAUAGCCAAUCUAGAUGUUUCCCGGUCAUCUCAGAUCCGUAAGGUGGGUACACGCUACUCUCGCCAUCUCUCCACUCCCAGUACGCGGUUAGCCGUUCUCGAGUAUCGGAAUAGCUAUAGGUAAGGCUUACCACCGCAUGUGAGCUGUACUCAAAGAUCUCAAUCACAACAGGCCAACAACGGUACGGUCCUUAAUCGACACAGUUGGAGACACUACUUUAAGACUCCAUUCUUAAAGCAAGUCCACCGACCGGUCUCAAGUUGAACAUCAUUAACCAUAAAAGUAUUCCACAACAAUCCUUCAAACUUUCUCAUUUGAAAACCUAUCUAAUAAGCAGGGCUAAGCAUACUAAGCAUUUUCAUAAAACAAGUAUCAAGGUUAAUAUUGAAAUCAUCAAGGUAGAUAAUGCAGCAAAUAGGAUUCACUCAACUCCUAUUCACCUAAUGCAUCAUAUUAACUCAAGUGAUAUAAAUAACUUUAUGAAAAUACAAGGAUAGGGUUUAAUGUCCGGGGCUUGCCUUGACCGGAAGGGAAGUUCGGCAACUCAGCAAAACCCGAAGGAUCCACAAACUCGGAAGCAACCCACUGAGGAUCAGAUUCUUCUGGAGCGUAUUCUAUACGUAAAAGUGCAUAUGCAUGAUUAUGAUAUACUCAUGGCAUGAUAAAGACAGGUUACAUGUUCUUGGAUGAUAACAACAAACAUAACUACCUCGAGUACAACUUACCUUCACGGUAUAGAAACAAACUAUCUUAGUUAUCAAAGCAUAGGUUACUACUAAGCAAAUUUUAUCAUCUUCAUUAAGCAAAGUUGUGUAGUUAUUAAGCAACAAAGAUCAUUUACAUGAAAGAAUCCUUAACCAGGGAGCAUAUUAUACCAAGUAACCACUGGUUAUCAAUCAAUCCCAAAGAUCAACCAAAACCUAAAAUGAUUAGGCUUUCUAUUUAUCUUAAUAAAUUCUUAAUUAAAUAUUAAAGACAAUAAUUAAGUAUUAACAUCAAACAAUAAUUAAGUGCCAAAGGUCAUUAAAAGAUAAUGACCUUAGGUCAUCACAUAAUCCCAAAAGCACUCAAAUUCUAAUUUGGAAAUUAAGCUACUCAUUAUUUAAGUAAAGGCUAGCUAAAAACAAACAACUUUAUUUGCACACAUAACCAGGACAACAGUAUAUACACAACUUCAUUCAACCAUAAUUAGAGAUCCAAACAUCCAAUAAAGGUGAUAUUAGACUUUCUGGAAAGCUUAGAUAAUUUUCCACAACUUUGUUAUUAUCUUCGAGAACUGAUUUAAAAGAUAAAAUAGCCAAACAAUAUGAAUAAACAAUUCUGUCCAGACCUUGGACAGAAUCAGACAUUAAGCUUCAUACAUCUAUAACCAGAGUUCUAGAUCACCAAAAUUCAUGAUACAUAACAUUUUGCAAAGCUUAUGAAAAUUACUACAAUUCAUCUUUUAUCAUGAAAGCAUAAUUCAUAAGUUUAGUAGGUUUAAAUUGCACAACUACAGAAACUGAUCCAGGAUUUGACAGAAAGAAACCAUUUCUGAAACUUAAAUUUAAACAGGCAUAACUCAGAAACUAUAGGGCCAAAUGCCACCAAAAUUUAACACCAGCUAGAUACAUGAAUUCUAUAUAACUUUAUUAUAGACAAGUUUCAUAUCCAACAUUAUUUACCUAGAGAAAUUCAUAAUACUCCAGAAACUGUCGAGAAACCACUAAUAUUUGAAUUAUAAAGAAAUAACAUUUUGUUUAUGUUCCAAACUUGAACCUGGGCAAAACCCAGCUUACCAACAGUUAAAAUACAUCAAAGAGAUACUAGAAAACAUCAUGAUCAUCCCUAAAUAAAUUCCUUUCAUGCCUUUAUUAAUUUAUUUAGGUAAAUAGACAAAGUAAUAACCAUAUAUCAAAAGUGCACAGUAAAAUCUGAGAAAACUACAGAAGCACAUAUAUGCUCUCCAAAGUCUACUGUAUAAAUUUCAUACCAUUUGUAUAAGUAUAGCAAUUUCCAUGAAAAAGAUAAAUUUCCAUCACAAGGAAGCAUGUAACAGCAAGAUAAAUAAGAAACUCAACAUUUUCUACAAACACAUAGCUAAAUUAUUUACCUAUAUGAUAUAACAAUCUCAUAUAAAGCUACAGGAACCAUAUUUUAUAUUUAUUAAUUUUUAGUUUAAUUAUAGACAAUUUAGUAAGCACUAAACAAGAUAAAAUAAUAACUUAACCAUAUGUCAUCCAAUGAAUCUAAAAACUUAACCACAGCACACACACAUAAUUAUUAGUCUACCAUAAAAGUUUCAUCUUAAAAUAAGCUAUACAGCAAAAGAUAUGAAUUUCUUCCUUUUAAGCAUAAUUAAAAGACAUAAUUCAUAACUAAUUAUUUUAUUACAAAACAUGGCCAGUUUCAUAUUUUUAAUAAAAACUAGACAUCUCAUGGAGCACAACAAAAUUUGGUUCACCAAAAUUAGAGUUACCAAACUCCAGAUAUGAAUUUUCAAACAUUCAACAAAACAUCUACAAACAAGUCCUUAUAGCACUAUUCACCUGAGUCACGGUCUAUGCAGCUAGGCCCCUGCAGAAGUUCUAAUUGUUGCACGAGGUCCCUGGUCGCGAAUGGAAAACAGAGGAACUCGUCGGAGAUCCCCGUUUCAGCGUUGGGGUGCUCCAUGGCCGCAACGGAGCAGUGACGGAGUAUCUCCAUGGUCCGUCGCACUCGUUGGCAGCCACUUCUUGGACCGAGGUAGCCUGUGGAAGCCUGGCCACGGUGAAGCUCCCACGGCGGCGUUUCGGUCGGACUUGGAGAAGAACGGCUCGGUGGAGGGCUUACGGUGGGUUAAAGCUUGCGCUUGGGGGCGCAAUCGGUGACUGGGUUCGGGGCGGAGCUGCUGGUGCACUUGAGUGGUUUGGAAAGGGAGCGAGGAAGGCGAAAUGGAGGAGCACAGCAAGGUCGCCGGCGCCGGUGCGAGAGAAGGAACAAGCGCCUCGUCCAGGAAAGACUUUUAUCACGAAAGGAAGGGACGUCGUGCCUCCACGUCGUCUGGCGACGCAGGCAGCCAAGCAGCUGCGUGCCCUCACGCACGCAGGCGGCGCUGCGCGGGCGG
RNAcentral lists this long non-coding RNA (4040 nucleotides) under Sorghum bicolor (sorghum). RNAcentral's name for it is "long non-coding RNA (SBIC_LNC003848)". Lineage: Eukaryota; Viridiplantae; Streptophyta; Magnoliopsida; Poales; Poaceae. The record is from RNAcentral.